CCUACGGGGGGCAGCAGUAGGGAAUAUUGCUCAAUGGGGGAACCCCUGAAGCAGCAACGCCGCGUGGAGGAUGAAGGUUUUAGGAUUGUAAACUCCUUUUGUUAGAGAAGAUACUGACGGUAUCUAACGAAUAAGCACCGGCUAACGCCGUGCCAGCAGCCGCGGUAAUACGGAGGGUGCAAGCGUUACUCUGAAUUACUCGGCUUAAAGAGCGCGUAGGCGGGAUAGCAAGUCAGAUGUGAAAUCCUCUGUGUUAACCAUAGAACUGCAGUUGAAACUGGUAUUCUAGAGUAUGGGAGAGGUAUGCGGAAUGCUUGGUGUAGGGGUAAAAUCCGUAGAGAUCAAGAGGAAUACUCAUUGCGAAGGCGACCUGCUAGAACAUAACUGACGCUGAUGCGCGAAAGCGUGGGGAGCAAACAGGAUUAGAUACCCCUGUAGUC
RNAcentral lists this ribosomal RNA (440 nucleotides) under uncultured bacterium. RNAcentral describes it as "partial 16S ribosomal RNA". It matches the Rfam family "Bacterial small subunit ribosomal RNA", at positions 338 to 795 of the family's 1533-position model. The record is from RNAcentral.